AUUGAGGUCUUGGCCAGGAGAGGUGGCUCACGCCUGUAAUCUCAGCACUUUGGGAGACUGAGGCAGGUGGAUCACGAGGUCAAGAAAUCAAGACCAUCCUGGCCAACAUGGUGAAACCCUGUCUCUACUAAAAAUACAAAAAUUAGCUGGGCGUGGUGGCUCAUGUCUGUAAUCCCAGCUACUCUGGAGACUGAGGAAGGAGAAUCCCUUGAACCCAGGAGGCAGAGGUUGCAGUGAGCUGAGAUGGUCCACUGCAUCCCAGCCUGGUGAUAGAGCGAGACUGUGUGGAAAGAAAGAAGAAAGAAAGAAAGAAAAGAAAAGAAAAGAGAAAGAAAGAAAGAAAUUGAGGUUUUGAGGCUGGCUGGGAUUCCCAGGACCAGAGCUAAACAUGAGGCUGAUACAGACCUUAAAGCAAGAAGCCCAUUUGCUGUGAAGAUAACGUGAGUACACAAAGACCAAGGGACCUGGGAAGAAAGGAGUCCAGGAAAGAUAUGAGCAAAGCCAAUUUCAGUCUGUAGUGAAGAAGGCUGGAAGUUCACGCAUGGUAUUCACAGUCCCAGAGGGAGGCCCACUUACUGUUGUUUCCAUGGAGCUGGUGGGCAUCUUGGGCACCAGGCAGUGAGUGAAUUCGAUUCUCUGGUCUUUGGUGGUGAUGGACAGGCCUUUCUGCAGAAUUUUCACCAAGCGG
Callithrix jacchus (white-tufted-ear marmoset) is the source of this 688-nucleotide long non-coding RNA. RefSeq lists it as uncharacterized. Lineage: Eukaryota; Metazoa; Chordata; Mammalia; Primates; Cebidae. The record is from RefSeq and is a predicted model, not a curated record.